RNAcentral lists this long non-coding RNA (821 nucleotides) under Homo sapiens (human). RNAcentral describes it as "novel transcript". Lineage: Eukaryota; Metazoa; Chordata; Mammalia; Primates; Hominidae. The record is from RNAcentral.
ACGGCGACCACCGCGGCAGCUCCCCGGGGACUCCUCGCAGGAUAUAUAUGAUCACAUUUUAACUUAGUCUGCAACAUGUACUGAAUAAAAAGAAGAUAGUGCAAAGCAAUUCUCCAACACAGUAAAAGAGGCUGUGAAAAUUGGGGCAGGAAAAGGUUUAUUUCAUGUGGCUGGUCUCAGAACCUGGUUUUCAUAAUAUUUCGAAAAAAAUUUUAAAGAAUCCUGAAUUUUCUCUUUAGUGAUGCUACACAUACUUACUUUGGACAUCAGCAAUCUAACUGCCGGCUUUGCAAACUCAUUCUUCAAGAGGCAAGUCAUUCUUGGUAACAGCGUCCUCAGGAAUGAAGCUCCUGCAGUUGAGGUUCAGUGAACGCUGCGUCAGGGAUCUGCGCAGCACGUGUGGAACCCAAUGAGAGUCCUUGCUGUGCAGGCACCGGGAUGCUCACAUAGUAAAAACUCGAGUCCAUCGGGAAGCCCAGGAACUGAAAGGCAUAAAGAAACCGAGUGCUAGAACACGAAGAUGACAUUUAGACACAGAUGCUUUUCUGCAAGUCACCACACUUUAAUUUUAAGAAAGGAGACUAGCGAUCUAUUGAAUAAUUCAUUCCCUCAUGGCACUGGUUCAACACCCCAGGCUCCUCUGCUGAGAAGCCUCCUUAUGUAGCUGUACUGGACAAGUGCGGUAGAAAAGACAGAACCCAGUGGGGAUGACAGAAUUCUUUAAUUGUCUGCAAAAGAGGAAAUCCAGUUGGUGGAGAGAAAAAUUAUUUCCACAUUGGAAAAAAAAGUAAUGACAAAAAUAAAAAGGCUUUGUCAAAUAU